This 272-nucleotide small nuclear RNA is filed under the name Jaculus jaculus (lesser Egyptian jerboa). Its description in RNAcentral is "7SK RNA (ENSJJAG00000008197.1)". It matches the Rfam family "7SK RNA", at positions 1 to 283 of the family's 331-position model. Rfam says of the family: 7SK was discovered as an abundant small nuclear RNA in the mid-70s but a possible function has only recently been suggested. Two independent studies have found that 7SK RNA binds the CDK9/cyclin T complex (known as elongation factor P-TEFb). Lineage: Eukaryota; Metazoa; Chordata; Mammalia; Rodentia; Dipodidae. The record is from RNAcentral.
UGUCAGGGCAAUCUGCAUGAAACCUGUCACCCCACUUUUUUUUGCCAAGUUUUACUCUGGCUGGCCAUGUCGAUAACCCCUUCUUCCCUCACCACACAACCUGUGUCCCUCCUGAAGCUAAGCACUUGUUGGAAGAGGCCCGCCAUCCCCAAACAGAAUAGGGUUUCUUCAGUCACGGGUUAGGAGAGCCAUGUGCCCCUGCUAGAACCUCCUAACAGGCUCUCAAGAAAGCCUGUGAUUCUUAAUUGCAGGUGCCAUCGUCCCUACAGUUU